CCGGGUCUCGGCCGGUUCCCCGUCGGCCAGGUGGAGCUGCAGGGCAACGCCACGAGUCUGCGGGCCCGCGUGGGGAGCCGCGCACCGGCCCCCGGCCAACCCCAGUUCGACGACAUGUUGGGCGUCUCACUCCGGGACCCGUCCCUGCUCCUGACCAUCACCGUCAUUGGGGUCACUGUGCUCGUGUUGGUCCUGAAGAGCAUGAACUCCAGGAGGAGAAAGCCAAUCACCUUACAGGACCCUGAAGCCAAGUACCCGCUGCCCUUGAUUGAGAAAGAGAAAAUCAGCCACAACACCCGGAGGUUCCGCUUUGGACUGCCUUCGCCGGACCAUGUCUUAGGGCUUCCCGUAGGUAACUAUGUCCAGCUCUUGGCAAAAAUUGAUAAUGAAUUGGUGGUCAGAGCUUACACGCCUGUUUCCAGUGAUGAUGACAGAGGCUUUGUGGACCUAAUUAUAAAGAUCUACUUCAAAAAUGUACACCCCCAAUAUCCUGAAGGGGGGAAGAUGACUCAGUAUUUGGAGAACAUGAAAAUCGGGGACACCAUCUUUUUUCGAGGGCCAAAGGGACGCUUGUUUUACCAUGGGCCAGGGAAUCUUGGAAUCAGACCAGACCAGACGAGUGAGCCGAAAAACAAACUGGCCGAUCACCUGGGAAUGAUUGCUGGGGGCACAGGCAUCACACCCAUGUUGCAGCUCAUUCGCCACAUCACCAAGCACCCCAGUGACAGGACCAGGAUGUCCCUCAUCUUUGCCAACCAGACAGAGGAGGAUAUCUUGGUCAAAAAAGAGCUUGAAGACAUUGCCAGGACUCACCCAGACCAGUUCGACCUGUGGUACACCCUGGACAGGCCUCCCAUUGGCUGGAAGUACAGCUCAGGCUUCAUUACUGCCGACAUGAUCAAGGAGCACCUUCCUCCUCCGGGGAAGUCCACGCUCAUCCUGGUGUGUGGCCCGCCACCCUUGAUCCAGACGGCGGCUCACCCUAACCUGGAGAAGCUGGGUUAUACCCAGGACAUGAUUUUCACCUACUAACAGCUCCAUGUGCUCAGCAAACUUGCAUGUCCCUUUUCAUCUGUUUCAGACAGGUUUUAUGAACUAACAGCUCUUCCCCUUGGGUGUGAGAGCCUCCAGGCUGUCACCAGGAAUAGCACGAGCCAUCGAGUCCGUGUGCUGAUAUCUCACUGCCCUCCCACAAAAGCGGUCUGCAGUCCACGUAUGAAAGUACAAAAGGUAUGAAGCUUGUGGUGAAAAGCGCAGCAUGGUUGAAGACACACAUGGACCCUGGGGCCACCCCUGGACGCCUGUCCCACAGCUCUGCUUCGUGCCUGUCGGCACCCUGUCCAAGACACCCUACCAGCCCGGACUGGGCUUGCAGAGGGGGCUGUGUGCCAGCUUCCCACAGAAGUAAAGGCUCCGGGCCCCCACACAUGCCUCUCUACACUCUCAGCCACGAAGAAAGUCAUCUCCAGUCAUCAGAGUCGGGGGCAGGCAGGCGAGAGUCAUUCAGCAGCUGGUCCUGGCUCAGCAUUGUCUGAAAAGGACACAGCCGAAGGGUCAGUUUAAUAGAGUUUUGGUCCAGGCUGCCUCACGGCAGCUGCAUGGGAACUAGAAGGCACUGGGUGAGGGCCGCAUCUGACGCAGGUGCACUAUAAGUUUAUAGUGUCCCAAGAAACCCUGAGUAUUGGGUCAGAAUAAACAACACUAUUAAGAUAAAAAUAAAUUGUUCAUCUUAGAAAUAAAUGUUCUAUUUUCAGGCCACCAAAGGCCUAGAUCAUAAGGGCAGGCAUAGGCAGAUUCCUUUCAUGGGUGGGCCAAUAAAUAAAAACGUUGAGUAAAAGUGA
This is an RNA transcript of Symphalangus syndactylus (siamang), 1841 nucleotides long. It is a transcript of the gene named cytochrome b5 reductase 2, with no coding region annotated. The record is from RefSeq and is a predicted model, not a curated record. Lineage: Eukaryota; Metazoa; Chordata; Mammalia; Primates; Hylobatidae.